This 449-nucleotide ribosomal RNA is filed under the name uncultured fungus. RNAcentral describes it as "eukaryotic LSU rRNA". It matches the Rfam family "Eukaryotic large subunit ribosomal RNA", at positions 112 to 565 of the family's 3401-position model. The record is from RNAcentral. Lineage: Eukaryota; Fungi.
AAUUUGAAAUCUGGCUCCUUUGGAGUCCGAGUUGUAAUUUGUAGAGGAUGUUUCGGGCACCGCUCCGGUUUAAAUUUCUUGGAACAGAAUGUCAAAGAGGGUGAGAAUCCCGUCUUGAACCGGUGGUAGGGUCCAUGUGAAACCCCUUCGACGAGUCGAGUUGUUUGGGAAUGCAGCUCUAAAUGGGUGGUAAAUUUCAUCUAAAGCUAAAUAUUGGCCAGAGACCGAUAGCGCACAAGUAGAGUGAUCGAAAGAUGAAAAGCACUUUGAAAAGAGAGUUAAACAGUAUGUGAAAUUGUUGAAAGGGAAGCGCUUGCAAUCAGACUUGAGUGUGGUGGUUCCCCUGUCCUUUUGGUCAGGUUACUCCAUCAUAUCCAGGCCAGCAUCAGUUUCGGUGGUGGGUUAAAGGCCUCGGGAAUGUAUCUACCCUUCGGGGUCGGCUUAUAGCC